AAUCGAUAACCGCUGAAAGCAUCUAAGCGGGAAGCGAGCCUUGAGAUGAGUUUUCCCUGGCACUAUAAGUGUCCUAAAGGGUUGUCGUAGACUACGACGUUGAUAGGCAGGGUGUGUAAGUGCUGCGAGGCAUUGAGCUAACCUGUACUAAUUGCCCGUGAGGCUUAACCAUACAACACCCAAGGGGUUU
This 190-nucleotide ribosomal RNA is filed under the name Vibrio splendidus. RNAcentral describes it as "partial 23S ribosomal RNA". It matches the Rfam family "Bacterial large subunit ribosomal RNA", at positions 2759 to 2925 of the family's 2925-position model. The record is from RNAcentral. Lineage: Bacteria; Pseudomonadati; Pseudomonadota; Gammaproteobacteria; Vibrionales; Vibrionaceae.